ACGACGCUGGCGGCGUGCCUAACACAUGCAAGUCGAGCGCGAAAGUCCCCUCGGGGGCGAGUAGAGCGGCGGACGGGUGAGUAAUACGUGGAUAAUCUGCCCUUGAGCUCGGGAUAACCCCGCGAAAGUGGGGCUAAUACCGGAUAAGACCACGUGACCCAAGUCACGGGGUAAAAGGUGGCCUGUAUUCAUACAUGCUAUCACUUGAGGAUGAGUCCACGGCCUAUCAGCUUGUUGGUGAGGUAAUGGCUCACCAAGGCUAUGACGGGUAGCUGGUCUGAGAGGACGAUCAGCCACACUGGGACUGAGACACGGCCCAGACUCCUACGGGAGGCAGCAGUGGGGAAUAUUGGGCAAUGGGCGAAAGCCUGACCCAGCGACGCCGCGUGGGCGAUGAAGGCCUUCGGGUCGUAAAGCCCUGUCAUGCGGAAAGAAAAGUCCCGCGAUUAAUACUCGCGGGAUGUGACGGUACCGCAGAAGGAAGCACCGGCUAACUCCGUG
This 501-nucleotide ribosomal RNA is filed under the name uncultured bacterium. RNAcentral's name for it is "bacterial SSU rRNA". It matches the Rfam family "Bacterial small subunit ribosomal RNA", at positions 33 to 507 of the family's 1533-position model. The record is from RNAcentral.